RNAcentral lists this ribosomal RNA (613 nucleotides) under uncultured bacterium. RNAcentral's name for it is "bacterial SSU rRNA". It matches the Rfam family "Bacterial small subunit ribosomal RNA", at positions 13 to 630 of the family's 1533-position model. The record is from RNAcentral.
UUGAUUCUGGCUCAGGAUAAACGCUGGCGGCGCACAUAAGACAUGCAAGUCGAACGAACUUAAUUCAAAAGUUUACUUUUGAAAGCGGUUAGUGGCGGACUGGUGAGUAACGCGUAAGCAAUCUGCCUAUCAGAGGGGAAUAACAGUGAGAAAUCACUGCUAAUACCGCAUAAGCUGUGAGGAGCACAUGCUCUAAAUAGAAAAGGAGUAAUCCGCUGAUAGAUGAGCUUGCGUCUGAUUAGUUAGUUGGUGAGGUAACGGCCCACCAAGACGAUGAUCAGUAGCCGGACUGAGAGGUUGAACGGCCACAUUGGGACUGAGAUACGGCCCAGACUCCUACGGGAGGCAGCAGUCGGGAAUAUUGCGCAAUGGAGGAAACUCUGACGCAGUGACGCCGCGUGCAGGAAGAAGGUUUUCGGAUUGUAAACUGCUUUAGACAGGGACGAAAUAAAUGACGGUACCUGUAGAAUAAGCUCCGGCUAACUACGUGCCAGCAGCCGCGGUAAUACGUAGGGAGCAAGCGUUAUCCGGAUUUAUUGGGUGUAAAGGGUGCGUAGACGGAAAGACAAGUUAGUUGUGAAAUACCUCGGCUUAACUGAGGAACUGCAACUAA